CGUGGCUAACCUGCCCUUGGGACGGAAGCACCCCCGGGAAACUGGGGCUAAUUUCCGAUAGGGGAAGGCUCCUGGAAUGGAUUUUCGCCUAAAAGGCGCUUAGGGCAUGCUUCUAGGCGUUGCCCAAGGAUGGGGCCGCGGCCGAUCAGGUUGUUGGUGAGGUAACGGCUCACCAAGCCUUUAACCGGUGCGGGCCGUGGGAGCGGGAGCCCGGAGAUGGGCACUGAGACAAGGGCCCAGGCCCUACGGGGCGCAGCAGUCGCGAAAACUUCGCAAUAAGCGAAAGCUUGACGGGGCUAUCCCGAGUGCCAUCCGCUGAGGAUGGCUUUUCCCUAGUAUAGAUAGCUGGGGGAAAAAGGAGAGGGCAAGUCUGGUGUCAGCCGCCGCGGUAAUACCAGCUCUCCGAGUGGUGGGGAUGAUUAUUGGGCCUAAAGCAUCCGUAGCCGGCUGGGCAAGUCCCCUGUUAAAUCCAGCGAUCUAAUCGUUGGCCUGCGGGGGAUACUGCUUGGCUAGGGGGCGAGAGAGGCCGACGGUAUUCUCGGGGUAGGGGUGAAAUCCUAUAAUCCCGGGAGGACCACCAGUGGCGAAGGCUGUCGGCUAGAACGCGCCCGACGGUGAGGGAUGAAAGCUGGGGGAGCGAACCGGAUUAGAUACCCGGGUAGUCCCAGCUGU
Molecule: ribosomal RNA, 672 nt
Filed under: uncultured archaeon
Lineage: Archaea
Description: bacterial SSU rRNA
Rfam family: Archaeal small subunit ribosomal RNA
Source: RNAcentral